AUACGGAGGGUGCAAGCGUUAAUCGGAAUUACUGGGCGUAAAGCGCGCGUAGGCGGUUAUUUAAGUCAGAUGUGAAAGCCCCGGGCUCAACCUGGGAACUGCAUUUGAAACUGGCUGACUAGAGUCUAGGAGAGGGGGGUAGAAUUCCGGGUGUAGCGGUGAAAUGCGUAGAUAUCCGGAGGAAUACCAGUGGCGAAGGCGGCCCCCUGGACUAAGACUGACGCUGAGGUGCGAAAGCGUGGGGAGCAAACAGGAUUAGAUACCCCAGUAGUCC
This 274-nucleotide ribosomal RNA is filed under the name uncultured bacterium. Its description in RNAcentral is "partial 16S ribosomal RNA". It matches the Rfam family "Bacterial small subunit ribosomal RNA", at positions 523 to 796 of the family's 1533-position model. The record is from RNAcentral.